Molecule: ribosomal RNA, 1429 nt
Filed under: metagenome
Description: bacterial SSU rRNA
Rfam family: Bacterial small subunit ribosomal RNA
Source: RNAcentral
GUCGAACGGUAACGGGGGUAGCAAUACCUGCCGACGAGUGGCGCACGGGUGAGUAACGCGUAUGCAACCUUCCCUUGACAGGGGGAUAGCCCGGGGAAACCCGGAUUAAUACCCCGUACGGACGCAGAAAGGCAUCUUUCAGCGUCGAAAGCCCCGGCGGUCAAGGAUGGGCAUGCGUGCCAUUAGUUAGUCGGCGGGGUAACGGCCCACCAAGACAUCGAUGGCUAGGGGUUCUGAGAGGAUUAACCCCCACACUGGUACUGAGACACGGACCAGACUCCUACGGGAGGCAGCAUUGAGGAAUAUUGGGCAAUGGGCGCAGGCCUGACCCAGCCAAUCCGCGUGCAGGAUGACGGCCCUACGGGUUGUAAACUGCUUUUACAUGGGAAGAACUGCCCCGACGUGUCGGGGACUGACGGUACCAUGCGAAUAAGCAUCGGCUAACUCCGUGCCAGCAGCCGCGGUAAUACGGAGGAUGCAGGCGUUAUCCGGAUUUAUUGGGUUUAAAGGGUGCGUAGGCUGGCCAGUAAGUCAGUGGUGAAAUCCCGUAGCUUAACUACGGAACUGCCGUUGAUACUGCUGGUCUUGAGGACAGACGAGGUAGGCGGAAUGUGUAGUGUAGCGGUGAAAUGCUUAGAUAUUACACAGAACACCGAUUGCGAAGGCAGCUUACUAGACUGUAUCUGACGCUGAUGCACGAAAGCGUGGGGAGCGAACAGGAUUAGAUACCCUGGUAGUCCACGCCGUAAACGAUGAACACUCGUUGCGUACCACUUGAGGUACGUGACUGAGCGAAAGCAUUAAGUGUUCCACCUGGGGAGUACGUCGGCAACGAUGAAACUCAAAGGAAUUGACGGGGGCCCGCACAAGCGGAGGAACAUGUGGUUUAAUUCGAUGAUACGCGAGGAACCUUACCUGGGCUUAAAUGCAGGGUGUCCGCCCCGGAAACGGGGUUUCCCUUCGGGGCACCCUACAAGGUGCUGCAUGGUUGUCGUCAGCUCGUGCCGUGAGGUGUCGGGUUAAGUCCCAUAACGAGCGCAACCCCUAUCGUUAGUUGCCAGCGCAUAAAGGCGGGGACUCUAACGAGACUGCCACCGUAAGGUGAGAGGAAGGUGGGGAUGACGUCAAAUCAGCACGGCCCUUACGUCCAGGGCUACACACAUGUUACAAUGGCCGGUACAAAGGGCAGCUACCUGGUGACAGGAUGCUAAUCUCGAAAACCGGUCCCAGUUCGGAUCGAAGUCUGCAACUCGACUUCGUGAAGGUGGAUUCGCUAGUAAUCGCGUAUCAGCAAUGACGCUGUGAAUACGUUCCCGGGCCUUGUACACACCGCCCGUCAAGCCAUGGAAGCCGGGGGUACCUGAAGUCCGUAACCGCAAGGAUCGGGCUAGGGUAAAACUGGUAACUGGGGCUAAGUCGGAACAAGGUA